RNAcentral lists this ribosomal RNA (519 nucleotides) under uncultured Glomeromycotina. RNAcentral's name for it is "SSU rRNA". It matches the Rfam family "Eukaryotic small subunit ribosomal RNA", at positions 569 to 1092 of the family's 1831-position model. Lineage: Eukaryota; Fungi; Glomeromycota. The record is from RNAcentral.
AGCAGCCGCGGUAAUUCCAGCUCCAAUAGCGUAUAUUAAAGUUGUUGCAGUUAAAAAGCUCGUAGUUGAAUUUCGGGAUUAGUACGUUGGUCGUGCCUUAGGUACGUACUGGUGUUACUGGUUCCUACCUUCUGACGAACCAUCAUGUCAUUAAUUUGGUGUGGCGGGGAAUCAGGACUGUCACUUUGAAAAAAUUAGAGUGUUUAAAGCAGGCUCGCGCUUGAAUACAUUAGCAUGGAAUAAUGAAAUAGGACGUUGACCCUAUUUUGUUGGUUUCUAGGAUUGACGUAAUGAUUAAUAGGGAUAGUUGGGGGCAUUAGUAUUCAAUUGUCAGAGGUGAAAUUCUUGGAUUUAUUGAAGACUAACUACUGCGAAAGCAUUUGCCAAGGAUGUUUUCAUUAAUCAAGAACGAAAGUUAGGGGAUCGAAGACGAUCAGAUACCGUCGUAGUCUUAACCAUAAACUAUGCCGACUAGGGAUCGGAUGAUGUUAUUUUUAAUGACUCAUUCGGCGCCUUACG